UACGGAGGAUCCAAGCGUUAUCCGGAUUUAUUGGGUUUAAAGGGUGCGUAGGCGGCUAUUUAAGUCAGAGGUGAAAACUUGCAGCUCAACUGUAAGCCUGCCUUUGAUACUGAAUAGCUUGAAUGAACUAGAGGUAGGCGGAAUGUGACAAGUAGCGGUGAAAUGCAUAGAUAUGUCACAGAACACCAAUUGCGAAGGCAGCUUACUAUGGUUUAAUUGACGCUGAGGCACGAAAGCGUGGGGAUCAAAC
This 250-nucleotide ribosomal RNA is filed under the name uncultured bacterium. RNAcentral describes it as "partial 16S ribosomal RNA". It matches the Rfam family "Bacterial small subunit ribosomal RNA", at positions 524 to 773 of the family's 1533-position model. The record is from RNAcentral.